This 198-nucleotide ribosomal RNA is filed under the name uncultured bacterium. Its description in RNAcentral is "partial 16S ribosomal RNA". It matches the Rfam family "Bacterial small subunit ribosomal RNA", at positions 328 to 539 of the family's 1533-position model. The record is from RNAcentral.
ACGCUCGACACCUACGGGGGGCAGCAGUGGGGAAUAUUGCACAAUGGGGGAAACCCUGAUGCAGCGACGCCGCGUGAAGGAAGAAGUAUUUCGGUAUGUAAACUUCUAUCAGCAGGGAAGAAGAUGACGGUACCUGACUAAGAAGCCCCGGCUAACUACGUGCCAGCAGCCGNGGUAAUCUGAGCGGGCUGGCAAGGC